AGUAGGAUAAGCUAAGCACACUGUUGGUUAUGUGUGCCCAAGCAUUGAGGCAGUCAAAGUAGGCAAAUCCGCUUUGAUAAUGCUGGGAUGUGAUGGGGAGCGAAAUUUAGUAGCGAAGUAGCUGAUUUCACACUGUCAAGAAAAGUCUCUAUCGAGGUUAAAGGUACCCGUACCGCAAACCGACACAGGUGGGUGAGGAGAGUAUCCUAAGGCCAGCGAGAGAACUGUUGUUAAGGAACUCGGCAAAAUGACCCCGUAACUUAGGGAU
RNAcentral lists this ribosomal RNA (268 nucleotides) under Clostridioides difficile. Its description in RNAcentral is "partial 23S ribosomal RNA". It matches the Rfam family "Bacterial large subunit ribosomal RNA", at positions 1476 to 1742 of the family's 2925-position model. Lineage: Bacteria; Bacillati; Bacillota; Clostridia; Peptostreptococcales; Peptostreptococcaceae. The record is from RNAcentral.